Molecule: ribosomal RNA, 504 nt
Filed under: uncultured bacterium
Lineage: Bacteria
Description: partial 16S ribosomal RNA
Rfam family: Bacterial small subunit ribosomal RNA
Source: RNAcentral
AUUGAACGCUGGCGGCAGGCCUAACACAUGCAAGUCGAACGGUAGCACAGAGAGCUUGCUCUCGGGUGACGAGUGGCGGACGGGUGAGUAACGUCUGGGAAACUGCCCGAUGGAGGGGGAUAACUACUGGAAACGGUAGCUAAUACCGCAUAACGUCACAAAACCAAAGUGGGGGAGCUCGGGGCCUCACCCCAUCGGAUGUCACCAGAUGGGAUUAGCUAGUAGGUGGGGUAAUGGCUCACCUAGGCGACGAUGCCUAGCUGGUCUGAGAGGAUGACCAGCCACACUGGAACUGAGACACGGUCCAGACUCCUACGGGAGGCAGCAGUGGGGAAUAUUGCACAAUGGGCGCAAGCCUGAUGCAGCCAUGCCGCGUGUAUGAAGAAGGCCUUCGGGUUGUAAAGUACUUUCAGCGGGGAGGAAGGCGGUGAAGUUAAUAGCUUCACCGAUUGACGUUACCCGCAGAAGAAGCCCCGGCUAACUCCGUGCCAGCCGCCGCCGUAA